This 526-nucleotide ribosomal RNA is filed under the name Dactylogyrus minor. RNAcentral describes it as "bacterial SSU rRNA". It matches the Rfam family "Eukaryotic small subunit ribosomal RNA", at positions 1330 to 1830 of the family's 1831-position model. Lineage: Eukaryota; Metazoa; Platyhelminthes; Monogenea; Dactylogyridea; Dactylogyridae. The record is from RNAcentral.
AACGAACGAGACUCUAACCUGCUAAAUAGUACGGUUGCAAUUUUUAUGUGGACCUCUGUUCUUGUGCCUCUGGUACUUGAAUAGAACCACAUAAGCAGGUGAAACUUCUUAGAGGAACUGGCGCCCGAAAAGGCGCACGAGAAAGAGCAAUAACAGGUCUGUGAUGCCCUAAGAUGUCCGGGGCCGCACGCGUGCUACAAUGACGAUGCUACUGAGCAUGAUUAACUUGUCCGAAAGGAUUGGUGAAACUGUUCAAUCAUCGUCGUGACUGGGAUUGGGGUUUGCAAUUGUCCCCCAUGAACCAGGAAUUCCUAGUAAGCACAAGUCAUAAGCUUGUGCUGAUUACGUCCCUGCCCUUUGUACACACCGCCCGUCGCUACUACCGAUUGAAUGGUUUAGCAAGGACAUUGGAUUGAGCCCUUGCGGUUUCGGCUGCUUGGGUUUGAGAAGAUGUCCGAACUUGAUCAUUUAGAGGAAGUAAAAGUCGUAACAAGGUUUCCGUAGGUGAACCUGCGGAAGGAUCAUU